RNAcentral lists this ribosomal RNA (623 nucleotides) under Salmonella enterica subsp. enterica serovar Infantis. RNAcentral describes it as "partial 23S ribosomal RNA". It matches the Rfam family "Bacterial large subunit ribosomal RNA", at positions 2180 to 2802 of the family's 2925-position model. Lineage: Bacteria; Pseudomonadati; Pseudomonadota; Gammaproteobacteria; Enterobacterales; Enterobacteriaceae. RNAcentral also lists the same sequence under 1 other name. The record is from RNAcentral.
GUGGAGCCGACCUUGAAAUACCACCCUUUAAUGUUUGAUGUUCUAACGUGGAUCCGUAAUCCGGGUUGCGGACAGUGUCUGGUGGGUAGUUUGACUGGGGCGGUCUCCUCCUAAAGAGUAACGGAGGAGCACGAAGGUUGGCUAAUCCUGGUCGGACAUCAGGAGGUUAGUGCAAUGGCAUAAGCCAGCUUGACUGCGAGCGUGACGGCGCGAGCAGGUGCGAAAGCAGGUCAUAGUGAUCCGGUGGUUCUGAAUGGAAGGGCCAUCGCUCAACGGAUAAAAGGUACUCCGGGGAUAACAGGCUGAUACCGCCCAAGAGUUCAUAUCGACGGCGGUGUUUGGCACCUCGAUGUCGGCUCAUCACAUCCUGGGGCUGAAGUAGGUCCCAAGGGUAUGGCUGUUCGCCAUUUAAAGUGGUACGCGAGCUGGGUUUAGAACGUCGUGAGACAGUUCGGUCCCUAUCUGCCGUGGGCGCUGGAGAACUGAGGGGGGCUGCUCCUAGUACGAGAGGACCGGAGUGGACGCAUCACUGGUGUUCGGGUUGUCAUGCCAAUGGCACUGCCCGGUAGCUAAAUGCGGAAGAGAUAAGUGCUGAAAGCAUCUAAGCACGAAACUUGCCCCGA